This 462-nucleotide ribosomal RNA is filed under the name uncultured bacterium. RNAcentral describes it as "partial 16S ribosomal RNA". It matches the Rfam family "Bacterial small subunit ribosomal RNA", at positions 28 to 508 of the family's 1533-position model. The record is from RNAcentral.
GACGAACGCUGGCGGCGUGCUUAACACAUGCAAGUCGAGCGGAAAGGCCCUUCGGGGUACUCGAGCGGCGAACGGGUGAGUAACACGUGAGUAACCUGCCCCAGACUUUGGGAUAACCCUCGGAAACGGGGGCUAAUACCGGAUACGACACAGCUUCGCAUGGGGUCUGUGUGGAAAGUUUUUCGGUUUGGGAUGGGCUCGCGGCCUAUCAGCUUGUUGGUGGGGUGAUGGCCUACCAAGGCGACGACGGGUAGCCGGCCUGAGAGGGCGACCGGCCACAGGGGGAUGGGAAACGGCCCAGGCGCCCGGGGGGGGGAAGAGGGGGGAAUUUUGGAAAAGGGGGGGGAGCCUUGAGGGGGCGCGCCGGGGGGGGGGAGGCGGCCUUGGGGUUUAAAACCUUGUUCCGGAGGGAAGGAGGGGAAGGGGAGGUACCCUAAAGAAGAGGCGCCGGCAAACUCGGGC